RNAcentral lists this ribosomal RNA (1364 nucleotides) under uncultured bacterium. RNAcentral describes it as "bacterial SSU rRNA". It matches the Rfam family "Bacterial small subunit ribosomal RNA", at positions 27 to 1381 of the family's 1533-position model. The record is from RNAcentral.
GGACGAACGCUGGCGGCGUGGAUUAGGUAUGCAAGUCGAACGGUAUGGUGCUUUCGGGCAUCAGAGAGUGGCGAACGGGUGAGUAACACGUAGGUGAUCUACCCUCAAGACGGGGACAACCCAGGGAAACUUGGGCUAAUACCGGAUGAUAGCAGCAGUGAUGUUGUUUAAAAGAUGGCUUUCGGGCUGUCGUUUGGGGAUGAGCCUGCGUCCUAUUAGCUAGUUGGUAUGGUAAUGGCAUACCAAGGCGAUGAUAGGUAGGCGGCCUUAACGGGUGGUCGCCCACACUGGGAUUGAGAUACGGCCCAGACUCCUACGGGAGGCAGCAGUCGAGAAUAGUCUACAAUGGUCGGAAGACUGAUAGUGCGACGCCGCGUGAACGAUGAAGCCCUUCGGGGUGUAAAGUUCUUUUAUAUGUGAGCAGUGGGUUUUACGUUAAUAGCGUGGAAUCAGGGAUAUUAGCAUAUGAAUAAGCAACGGCUAACUCCGUGCCAGCAGCCGCGGUAACACAGGGGUUGCGAGCGUUGUCCGGAAUUACUAGGCGUAAAGGGCAGGUAGGCGGAUCUAUAAGUUUUUUGUCAAAUUCAACGGCUCACCCGUUGCGCGGCAGGAGAUACUGUAGAUCUGGAAUGCGGUUGGGGAAGACAGAAUUCCUGGUGUAGCGGUGGAAUGCGCAGAGAUCAGGAGGAAUACCGAAGGCGAAGGCAGUCUUCUAAGCCGUAANNGACGCUAAACUGCGAAGNUGUGGGUAUCAAACAGGAUUAGAUACCCUGGUAGUCCACACAGUAAACGAUAAUCACUGGGUGUCGGGUUCGUAGAGGAUUCGGUGCCGUAGCUAACGCGUGAAGUUGACCGCCUGGGGAGUACGGCCGCAAGGUUAAAACUCAAAGGAAUUGACGGGGACCCGCACAAGCGGUGGAUGAUGUGGUUUAAUUCGAUGCAACGCGAAAAACCUUACCCACCUUUGACAUGUAUGGAAGAUCGCAGAGACGCGAUUGUGCUCGAAAGAGAGCCAUAACACAGGUGCUGCAUGGCUGUCGUCAGCUCGUGUCGUGAGAUGUUGGGUUAAGUCCCGCAACGAGCGCAACCCUUGUCAUUAGUUGCUACAUUUAGUUGGGCACUCUAAUGAGACUGCCGGUGACAAACCGGAGGAAGGUGGGGAUGACGUCAAGUCCUCAUGGCCCUUAUAGGUGGGGCUACACACGUCAUACAAUGGCUGGUACAAAGGGUUGCCAACCCGCGAGGGGGAGCUAAUCCCAUAAAGCCAGUCGUAGUCCGGAUCGUAGUCUGCAACUCGACUACAUGAAGUCGGAAUCGCUAGUAAUCGCGCAACAUCAUGGCGCGGUGAAUACGUUCCCGGGCCU